UAUGUAAUAAGGAAUUCAGUAACAUGUUUUUAUACCGGGUUCAACAACUGUUUCAGAAACAAUAUUGGUAUAUUUAUAUUUAAAAAAACUUCUCCAGUGGAAUCCGUGUCGCCAACAGUUUUUCCUUUCGAAGCAAUAUAAAUGUGUUAAUGAACAUUGGCAUUUAGACCAGCGGGUUUCAUCUGUAGUAAACAGGGUGCAGGAUCACGUGAUGUGUGGGGUUCCCAAUUAAACUUUAAUGGAUGUUAACACUCCGCCCGUGUGUAAACCCCUGAAAACCCCGUUGAUCCUGCACCUGGUUACACAUAUUUGGGAUUCUGGAAGUAUUUUUUACCCGUAAAUCGGUAUGUAAGAUUUUCCUCUCGACAUUCGGUCUUGGCAGGUCAUAUCGGCCAUAAUGAACGGACAAAGAAACUUAUUGAAAUAUUAUUUACAGAACAUUAUUUGCAUUCAUAAAGUUAUUUUGAUGAAAGAAUGGAUCUUAAAUAUGCAAAUGUGUUGUAUAUGUUAUGCUAAUAAUCAUUAAUUAUUAAGGGUCACGGUAAUAAAGAUUUUUAUUAUU
Long non-coding RNA from Dreissena polymorpha, 562 nucleotides. RefSeq lists it as uncharacterized. The transcript has 2 exons. NCBI's taxonomy places the organism in Eukaryota, Metazoa, Mollusca, Bivalvia, Myida, Dreissenidae. The record is from RefSeq and is a predicted model, not a curated record.